UACGAGGGGAGCUAGCGUUGUUCGGAAUCACUGGGCGUAAAGCGCACGUAGGCGGAUUUGCCAGUCAGGGGUGAAAUCCCGGGGCUCAACCUCGGAACUGCCUUUGAUACAGCAAGUCUUGAGUUCGAGAGAGGUGGGUGGAAUUCCUAGUGUAGAGGUGAAAUUCGUAGAUAUUAGGAAGAACACCGGUGGCGAAGGCGGCCCACUGGCUCGACACUGACGCUGAGGUGCGAAAGCGUGGGGAGCAAACAGG
Molecule: ribosomal RNA, 253 nt
Filed under: uncultured bacterium
Lineage: Bacteria
Description: partial 16S ribosomal RNA
Rfam family: Bacterial small subunit ribosomal RNA
Source: RNAcentral